Molecule: ribosomal RNA, 440 nt
Filed under: uncultured bacterium
Lineage: Bacteria
Description: partial 16S ribosomal RNA
Rfam family: Bacterial small subunit ribosomal RNA
Source: RNAcentral
CCUACGGGGGGCAGCAGUGGGGGAUAUUGCACAAUGGGGGGAACCCUGAUGCAGCGACGCCGCGUGGGGGAAGGAGGGUUUCGGCGCGUAAAGCCCUAUCGGCAGGGAAGAAGAUGACGGUACCUGACCAAGAAGCCCCGGCGAACGCCGGGCCAGCAGCCGCGGCAAUACGCAGGGGGCAAGCGUUAUCCGGAGUUACUGGGUGGAAAGGGGGCGGAGACGGCAAUGCAAGCCAGGAGUGAAAGCCCGGGGCCCAACCCCGGGACUGCUCUUGAAACUGCAUGGCUGGAGGACAGGAGGGGCAGGCGGAAUUCCUAGUGUAGCGGUGAAAUGCGUAGCUAUUAGGAGGAACACCGGUGGCGAAGGCGGCCUGCUGGACUGUGACUGACGUUGAGGCCCGAAAGCGUGGGGAGCAAACAGGAUUAGAUACCCCAGUAGUC